AACCCAUGGUGAGGACACCGCCUCAAUAAGUCCUUAUACCUCUUCCAUGCAUCAUAUAGAGUCUCUAAAUCAAUCUAAACGAAGGAAAAAAAAUAUCAUUCCUCAACUU
This 109-nucleotide small nucleolar RNA is filed under the name Gossypium hirsutum (cotton). RNAcentral describes it as "Plant small nucleolar RNA R71". It matches the Rfam family "Plant small nucleolar RNA R71". Rfam says of the family: R71 is a member of the C/D box family of snoRNAs containing the C (UGAUGA) and D (CUGA) box motifs. Multiple nearly identical copies of this snoRNA have been identified in Arabidopsis, and it is thought to function as a 2'-O-ribose methylation guide for 18S ribosomal RNA. RNAcentral also lists the same sequence under 1 other name. Lineage: Eukaryota; Viridiplantae; Streptophyta; Magnoliopsida; Malvales; Malvaceae. The record is from Rfam by way of RNAcentral.